CCUACGGGAGGCAGCAGUGAGGAAUAUUGGUCAAUGGAGGCAACUCUGAACCAGCCAAGUAGCGUGCAGGAUGACGGCCCUGUGGAUUGUAAACCUCUUUUGUGCGGGGAUAAACUGUGUCACGCGUGGCUUGUUGCGUGUACCUCAUGAAUAAGCACCGGCUAAUUCCGUGCCAGCAGCCGCGGUAAUACGGAAGGUGCGGGCGUUAUCCGGAUUUAUUGGGUUUAAAGGGAGCGCAGGCCGGCCUUUAAGCGUGUUGUGAAAGGCCGGGGCUCAACCCCGGCACUGCAGUGGAAACUGGCGGUCUCGAGUGCGCGGGAGGUAGGCGGAAUUCGCGGUGUAGCGGUGAAAUGCUUAGAUAUCGCGAAGAACUCCGAUUGCGAAGGCAGCAUACCGGCGCCUCACUGACGCUGAGGCUCGAAGGUGCGGGUAUCGAACAGGAUUAGAUACCCUGGUAGUC
This 460-nucleotide ribosomal RNA is filed under the name uncultured bacterium. RNAcentral describes it as "partial 16S ribosomal RNA". It matches the Rfam family "Bacterial small subunit ribosomal RNA", at positions 338 to 795 of the family's 1533-position model. The record is from RNAcentral.